CUCCCUCCCCUACACUUGCAUUGACCACUAGUGACUUGGCCUGCAGCCUCCUGGUCAAGGAGCUGCCCUGGUAGGGUCGGCUGAGCUCCCUCCAAGCUGCGUAUUAACAGAAGUCAGAAGAAAGGCUGCAAAACCCACGCCGGAAGGAGUUGGGGACAAACGAAAAGACCCUUCGCUCACUCAACUUAUCACUUUUGGUGUCUGCAUCUCUCUGCUCUACGUUGAAACCAGUGCUGCGGUGCAUUCCAUUGCCCCUCUUUUCUAGAUGAGGCCUUAGAGACUGGACAGGACUGUUUGCGGGCCGGGGUGAAUUCGCUGGAAGCCCAGGCUCUGGUGCAAGACCGGAGAUAACGGGUAAUACAGAUUCAAACUUUGUGUGGAUAAUAACCUCAGUGCCAGACAUCGUCGACCUGACUCCUACUUCAGGCAUGAUUCUGAGUGAUUUUUGACCAUAUGGUAACAGAUCAAGAAGCCAGACGUCUGCAGGGCUGUGCUUCUGGGAAGGGGUGUGACCUUUGACUCCUGAGCUGCUCAUCUUGCCAUUUGACACAGGUUUGUUCCCUGAUGAGUGAAGUGGUUACACGGCGCUCAGAGAUUAACUCUGGAAUGACUGGGAUGAAAUCUCAGCCACACUUACACCCAAGGCACAUGGGCGUGACCAGCAGCCAAACACCUGGACACACACCUUUGCGUCCACAGGCAGUUCACCAAGAUGCACAUUUUAACCAGGAGCAAUGGAUAAAAUUUUUUCACUCUUCUUUUGGCAAAAACGUCUACUUUCCAGAAAGGAAUUACGGCAAUAAAUUCUGAAAAUUUUUUACAUAAUACACUGGAGAUCCUAAAAACUCAAAAUAUUUGAGUAGACACUCAGCCUAUUUUUGACUCUUGCAGGUGCAGUUCAAUUUUUCACUGUUGAAUUUCAUACAUUUGAAAAGAGCGGAGCAAUUCUUGAGUAUUUUAUUAGCAGUAGUAUUAGUAUUAUUAAGAUUUUAUUUUCCAGAUUUUUAUAGGACUUGCCAUGUGUCAGGCACUAUUCCCAGCUGUUGAAAAACAUUAUUUAAUCCCCAUUAUGAUCAUGUUAGGGAAGUACUGUUGUCACCAUCGUCAGAUGUAAAAUACAGGGAGGUUAAGCAACUUGCCAAAGAUCACACAGCCAGAAGGUGGCAAAGCUGAGCUGUGAACCCAGAUCGGCUGGCUCUGGAGCUCCUGCCCUCUACCAAGAGAGGUGAGACAAACUUCUCUGCAAAACCUUUUCCAGAGCCUUUGGGGCAAACCACUAGGUCCACAAAAAAUAAAGAGGUCGUCUAAGGAAAAAAAUAUUUCAAAAAAAUAUUUGUCUUGCCUUGGGAGCCGGUAUCGGAUGGUGUCUUUGGUGAAUUUCAUGAGUGCAGAGUGCCAUCUUGUGGCAAAGGAGAAUAUAGCUUUUAGCUCUAAAAAAUAGCCCAGGUUGGGAGCUCCCGGACAUGACUCCCUGGUAACGAAACCAACUAGUAUCCAUGAGGAGGCGGGUUCGAUCCCUGGCCUCGCUAAGUGGGUUAAGGAUCCAGCGUUGCCAUGAGCUGUAGCGUUGGUCGCAGAUGUGGCUCAGAUCCAAUGUUGCUGUGGCUGUGGUGUAAGCCGGCAACCAUAGCUCCAAUUCAGCCCCCUAGCCUGGGAACUUCCAUAUGCCAUGGGUGCAGCCCUGAAAAAGAAAAAAAUGUAGCCUAGGUUGCCAGCAGACUCUGGUCACGCACUGCUGUUAAUCUGCAGGAGCAGCAGCCCCAUCAAUAAGCAGCCUCUGUAAAGUCAGGCAGAUCUAGAGGAUACUCCUGUAGGGUUUGUUCCUGGUAGAAAUGCAUGGUGUGAACACACUAAGACACGCCAACAACGAGAGAUCAGAACCAGCCACUGGGAGUACUGUGUGUCAGCUGUAAUACUGCUGCCCACUUUACAGAUGGAAAAACUGAGUGCCAGGGAAAUGAAUGUUACAUGCCCAAGAUUACAGAGCUAAUCACAGAGCUGGGAUUCUGGCCAUCUUCUGCCAGACCUCAGGCAAACCUCCUCUUUAUGCUGCCACACCAUGGGUAGGCACCUGGGCUCACCACUAGACAGCUUCUCUGAGACCCAGCCCAUACAGCACUUAGCCCUGUGGGGGGGAAUCCCAGGGACUCAUACACCUGCUUUCCUUUCAAAUUAGAAAUGCUCUGGGGAUUCUUAACCCACUGCAGCUCGGGUCUCUGUGGAGGCAUGGUUUCCAUCCCCAGCUUGGGCACAGUGGGUUAAAGAUCUGGUGUUGCCACAGCUGCAGCAUAGGUCGCAGCUGCAGCUGAGAUGCAGUCACUCACCUGGGAACUCCUACAUGCCACAGGUGCAGCCAUUAAAAUAAAAUAAAAUAAAAGUAAAAUAGCGAGUUCCCAUGAUGGCUCAGUGGUAAGGAACCUGGCUAGUAUCCAUGAGGACUCAGGUUCUAUCUCUGACCUUGCACGUUGGGUUAAGGAUGCGGCAUUGCUGUAGCGCUGCAGCAUAGGUCGCCGACACGGCUUGCAUCUGGGUUUGUUGUAGCUGUGGUGUAGGCCGGCAGCAACAGCUCUCAUUCAACCCCUAGCCUGGGAACUUCCAUAUGCCGUGGGUGAGGCCCUAAAAAAAUAAAAAUUAAUUAAUAAAAUAAGAUAAAAUAAAACAAAGAAGUGUCUGAAUCUCCCCUAGUCGUUUGGCGUUCUGAACGCCCUUCAUCAGCCACAUAAUGUAGAAGUAUAUGGAUUUUUAUUUUCUUACGAAUUCACAAGCAAAUUUAAACUUGAGGGGACCUGCAAGGCAACUUUCCAAAAUACUACUAGUUUUGGACAAAGGACCCCACGAGGUGUCCAUCUCAGACAAGGGUAGCUCUGCGGGCUGAUGCAGCCCAAUUCAUCUACUCCACCCACGAUCCUGCUCUCCUGCUCUCGGUGGCUAUCGCCAUGCUGGCACCUUCAUCUCCAAAGGACUCAGCUCUGCCCCAGGCCUGCAGCAUCAGCCUCUCCCAGCACCGUCAGAAGUGCAGAGCCUCAGCCCUGCUCAGCCCUACAAACUGAGACCGCAUCUUAGUAACACUGCGGUGAGGCCCAUGGCAUGCGAGUGCGUGACACGCUGCUGGAGACGCUGGUCGAGGGUGAUGGGCGUGAACUGGGCCCAGAGGCGUGGGGGCUGGGGCAGAACUUACCCACCUUCCAGGCAGCAGGGACUGCAGGACAGGUGAGCCCUGACAGGCUGAGGACAGGAAGGACAGUGGAAAGCAAGGAGCCGGACGAGGAGCUGAUCUGGACUACAACCUGUUUGGAUGUUUGAGGCAUCCAGGGGAGGCCACCAUUGAGCACUGAUAGAUGUGGGGCAUUUGACCUCCAUGUACAACCUUGAAAUUCAUCAAGCCUGUGGCCAUCUGUCAAACGACCUCUGAAUUGGAGAGAGAGGAAGGAGGCAGGCUGCUGGUCCCCCCAAGUCCGCUCCCCCUAUUCCGCGGAAUAGCAUUUCUCUUUUGCCCGCGGUCCCCCGGCAGAGGGACGCUGCACCCCCAUCUCCUUUGUUCACCUGACUCAGCGCCAGCCCGUGGAGUGUGAACUUGCAGGUCACUUGCUCAAAUAGGAGUUAACGUCAGUUUUUUUCCUCUCUGUGGUCGUGAUGGUGACCUGUGCAAGUGGGGAAGGGGCAGCAUAGGGACAGUCCUGGGUCCCCACCUGACCAUGUAGCCUCCCCAGACCGUCCUCGUGGAGAGAGAUAUAAGCUGUCUCCAGGUAGUGUUUUGGAGAUAGUUUACAUUUUUUUUAAUGUGCAUUAUUUAUUUCUUUAUUUAUUUAUUGGCACACGGAAGUGUCCAGGCCAGGGAUGGAACUCACGCCACAGCUCUAACCAAAGCCCAAGCAGUGACACCAGCUCCUCAACCCGCUGAUUUUUUAAAUUUUGACAAAACUUCAGACAUAGGAAAGUUGCAAGCAUAGCCCAACCAGGUGUUCCUGUGUAUCCUUCACUUGGUUCCCCCAUUUCACUCCAUUGGUUUUAUCCUUUUCUCUCUUCCUCAAAUAUGUGUAUUUUUCUGACCCACUCGAGACUAAGCCUCAAGCAUGCUGCCUCUUUACCACUGCAUCCUUCAUGUACAUUACCUCAAACAAGGAUAUUUUCCUAAUUCCAUAGACCAUAGCAAAAUAAUCAGUCAGAAAAUUAAUGGUGAUAGAGCUGAAGCUGCUCUUUAUUUAUUUAUUUAUUUAUUUUUGUCUUUUUAGGGUCGCACCCGAAGCAUAUGGAGGUUCCCAGGCUAGGGGUCUAGUCCAAGCUGUAGCCGCCGGCCUAGGCCAUAGCCACAGCCACACCAGAUCCAAGCCAUGUCUGUGACCUACACCACAGCUCAUGGCAAUGCCAGAUCCUUAACCCACGGAGCGAGGCCAGGGAUCAAACCUGCCACUUCAUGGAUACCAGUCGGGUUCAUUACCACUGAGCCACAACAGGAACUCCAAAAGGCACUAAUUUACCCUUUUCAAGUAGUGAGUGCUCUGCAGAGAGAUGGUGGAAGUCAGCCAGCAGUUUAGACAGCAUUGUUACUGGUACAAAGGCAGAGGUUCCGCUGAAGAAAAUUCAGCUGCAAAUCCGAGCCCUGACUUAAGGGCCAUUGUUAGGAAUGUAAUUCAUUCACAUCCCGCCCCCGGUAUUUUGGGUGCACAGGAAAUUUUUCCUAGUUUCCCUGGACUCCCAUUAAACUUGAAUAUUAAUUUUUUAAAUAGCCCAGAGGGGAGCCUGGAUGGUGUAGUUCCCUUUCCAGAGAGUCCACAGCAGGACGAGCCUAGUUUCUGGACAAGGGGAUCAGCAGUUGCUCUAUCCAUUAGGAUGCUCCAGCCUCCACGACAGGUGACCCAACUCUGAGGGACUGACAGGGUCCCCUGCCCAGCUCCUCCCUUUGUGCUGCAUCCCUGAAGGGGCUGAUCCCUCUUCCCAAGAUAAUCUAUUUGACCAGUACCUUCCUCCAGCCGUCCCACCUGGAGACUCCGGCCCAGGGGGACGAACGUGCAUGCUGGCCCAGGAAGCCAGGACAAAUGAGAAAGAGGCUGGCAACAUUGUCGUAUCAGGUGGACCAAAGGCUGGCCCUGGCCCCUGCUUUAGCCGCUGCUAUCCCCAACCUCCCUUCCCAUUCCUCGGUGAAGCCGGGCACAGGCUGCAUCAAGACACUCUGCCCGCCAGGGUUUCCCAGCCUCUCUCCUUCCCUGAGGGUGAUGCUCGAAUGACGAGCUUUGCCCUUGACCUUCACACUGUCCCCUUAAGAAAGAGGCACUAGAUGAAUAAAGGAAGAUGUCUGCUUCACUCCAGGUGGGAAAGGAACAAAACAAAAAGAUGGGGACCCCUGCUUCUCAGGCUUGGGGACCACAUGGGUGACACAGACCAGACCAGGAAAGAGGAGGAGGGAAAAGGGAAGAAGAGAUGGGUGAUGGGAGAGCCCCUCUAGGCAAUGGGAAGGUGAGGGACCUGCCACACCCAGUCAAGCACCAGCCUCUCCAAAGGUGCAAGGCAGUAUCUAAGCAAGUGAACGGGUGAAGAAGUGAAUCCUAGAAGGGGAGGAGAGGAGUCCCCAUCGCAGUACAUCAGAAAUGAAUUCGACUAGGAACCAUGAGGUUGCAGAUUCAAUCCCUGGCCUUGCGCAGUGGGUUAGGAUCUGGCAUUGCCAUGAGCUGUGGUGUAGGUCGCAGAUGUGGCUCGGAUCCUGCAUUGCUGCUGUGGUGUAGGCUGACAGCUGUAGCUCCGAUUGGACCCCAUAUGCCACAGGUGUGGGUGCAGCCCUAAAAAAAAUAAAACAAAAAAAAAAA
This 5801-nucleotide long non-coding RNA is filed under the name Sus scrofa (pig). RNAcentral describes it as "lncRNA (ENSSSCG00055003758.1)". The record is from RNAcentral. Lineage: Eukaryota; Metazoa; Chordata; Mammalia; Artiodactyla; Suidae.